Molecule: ribosomal RNA, 243 nt
Filed under: uncultured bacterium
Lineage: Bacteria
Description: partial 16S ribosomal RNA
Rfam family: Bacterial small subunit ribosomal RNA
Source: RNAcentral
UACGUAGGUGGCGAGCGUUGUCCGGAAUUACUGGGUGUAAAGCGCGCGUAGGCGGUAGGCCAAGUCUGCUGUGAAAUCGCCCGGCUCAACUGGGCGCGGUCGGUGGAAACUGGUCAACUGGAGGACGGUAGAGGCGAGUGGAAUUCCCGGUGUAGUGGUGAAAUGCGUAGAGAUCGGGAGGAACACCAGUGGCGAAGGCGGCUCGCUGGGCCGGCAUUGACGCUGAGGAGCGAAAGGCUAGGG